UACGAAGGGGGCUAGCGUUGUCCGGAAUUACUGGGCGUAAAGGGCGUGCAGGCGGUCUGUUAAGUGCAGGGUGAAAGCUCCCGGCUCAACUGGGAGAGGUCCUUGCAUACUGGCGGACUUGAGGGGGGUAGAGGAAAGUGGAAUUCCCGGUGUAGUGGUGAUAUGCGUAGAUAUCGGGAGGAACACCUGUGGCGAAGGCGGCUUUCUGGGCCCUACCUGACGCUGAGACGCGAAAGCGUGGGGAGCGAACCGG
RNAcentral lists this ribosomal RNA (253 nucleotides) under uncultured bacterium. RNAcentral's name for it is "partial 16S ribosomal RNA". It matches the Rfam family "Bacterial small subunit ribosomal RNA", at positions 524 to 776 of the family's 1533-position model. The record is from RNAcentral.